This 2406-nucleotide long non-coding RNA is filed under the name Bemisia tabaci. RNAcentral's name for it is "lncRNA ENSASIAIIG013402". Lineage: Eukaryota; Metazoa; Arthropoda; Insecta; Hemiptera; Aleyrodidae. The record is from RNAcentral.
AUGUCACAAAAGGUCGGAAGGAAGGAUAUAAAUUUAGAACAAUCACCCACCUCCAAAAAAGCUGACGCAGUACAGGAUGAUAAAACUGCAGUUAGUUCCUCAAAAACCUCUGUUCAAUCAUCCAAUACUGAAGAAACGAAACUGAAAAAACAGGAAAAAGAUGUCAAAAAACGGGACAUAACUCAGAGUGAAUUAAAGAAAUCCACUCAAACUCAGAACGAUAAAAAUGAAGCGAAGAAACCUAAAAAUUCUGAGACUAAAAAUACAGUCAAUGAGGCUGAAAUCUCCGUGCCAUCCAAAGAAACGAAAGGAUCAGAAAAGUCUAGUGGAGCUCAAAUUGAAGGAACUCCUAUGCUAGAGGCUCUAAUCUCAACUGUACCAAUAUUGACUAAAGAACCUGCCUCUCCAGAGAAGAAACCUUCAAAGAAGAAUUCAAAGGAUCAGAAACAGUCAAUCAAAAUUGAGACCUCUCAAACAGCACUGACUCCGGAACGUAAAGAGAAUGUCUCUAAAACAACGCAAGAGGCCACAGAAAAGGUGAUCGAAAAUAAGAAACAAGUUAUCCAGUCAACAAAAACAAAAGAUGAUCAAAUUAAAGAUGACUCGAAUGCUCCAAAAUUGCCGGAGGAACCUCAGAAAACUCCAGUGAAGGAUCUAAAACAAUCAGGCAAGCCUGUAACUACGAAGGAAGAUCAAAAUAAGAAAUUGAAAGAUGCUCAGAAGAAGGAAACAACGGUUAGUGAAGAGAAACUCCCUGAGCCAGGGACGAAAAUCAGCAAGUCAGCCUCAAAAGCUGCUGAAGAAUCUGAAAAAAAGCAAGACAAAGAUUCGAAGCAACCUGCUCAAUCUGGGAAAACGGUAGAUUUGCAAUGCAAUGAAACCACCAGCAAGACACGAUCAGAUGUAUCUAAACAUGAGGAAGAGGUGGGGACAAAACAGAAGCAAUCGCAGGUAUCUAAAGUCACGAAAAAGAAUCAACCGGUAGAACAGAAAAAUUCUGUCACAAAAGAAAUUAAUAACAUCGCAAAAGAGAAUACAGCUAUAAUCAAUACACCAGAGUCCCUUAAGACACUGGAAGAGUCACCAAAGAGUCUCACUAUUGCAGCAGAAGAGGAAAAAACAUUAGUAACAGUUUUGACGACAUUAUCUAACAUAGGAAUCGUAGAUGCUAAAGAUGUCAGUAGCGCUUUAAGCCGCUCAGAAAAAACCGAAGAUGUAAUUGAGUUUGAACUCUCCUCUUCAGGUGAAUCUAAAGAAUUGAGGAGCAGUAGCAGCAUGAAAAACCCUGAUCUACCUAAAUCAACUGAUGUAGCCAACCCUAAAUCUGAAGUUGUUGAAAGCGAAAGUUCUGUGAGUGUUUUCAAAGAAACCAACAAGGAGAAAAAACGGGAUAACUCACCAGAAGCAUUUUUAACAAAGCCCCAAGACGCUACAAAAGAAUCAGUUUUUUGUCAAGUACCUGAUAAGGUGGUAGUUUCAGGAUUUACCAAUGAGCUGGAUGGUAAGGUAAAGGUUCAACAGCCAAAUGAAGAUCAGAUUUCUUCUGGAGGAAUUGCUUGCGCUGAAACCGAUGUUGAGAAAAUUCACGCACCUGAAGUAAUGGCUGUUGGUAGUCAGAUCAGUCAGGUAGAAGACAGCAACGGAGAAGUUGGAUCUUCGACAGUCAUUAAUGAUAUUCAAAAGUCGAAGGAAAGUGAAGUUACAGAAGUCAAUGCAUUCAAGCAUCACAUUGAUAUAGAAAUCGAGCAAAAGUCAACUCCAGGAGCAUCUUGCAAAGCAAAAAAAGAAAUUGUUGAGCGUAAAAAGCCAAAAAACGGGGUAUCUGUUGCUGUUCCUAAAUCAACGGAGCUUGAAGGAACAGCAACAGUCAAAACUAGCACUGUCAGCUCUACUAACGUUGAGAUUCCGACUGCUGUAGCGAACAUAGCUCCGUCUAAAAUUGAAAAACCUGCGUCAGAUGGGCAAAAAUCUGACAGUACUAAAUCUCCCGAAAAGGUGAAGAAAGUUGAACCAAAGGUUUGCAAGGUUUCACCUAGCGCAGCAAAGUCCUCUGUUGAGUCCACUGCCCCAACAAAAAGUGCAGUUGCAGGGAAACCUGAAGGAGAAAAAUUGAACAGUCCGAAUGAGUCUCCAGCUAGCGUGAAAACCACUGUCUGCUUCCCUGUUUCGGCUUGUAAAUCUGAGCAAAAAGGUAAUCUUCAGGAACAAACCGUUAAAACUUCUGAUGAUGAUAGCAUUAAAGACCAACCUCCAACUCCCGUCACUUCGAAACAAGAAAGUUCUUCCGUGCCAAAAGGUUCUCCAAACGUCAAUGACGGCAAGUCAGAAACAUGCGCUAUGAAGCAAAUUAGUCUUCCUGUUAAUACACCCUCUUGUAAAUCAAAAAAGAAAGUACUAAACCAUUAA